CACAUGCAAGUCGAGGGGCAGCAUUUCUUUUUGCUUGCAAACUGGAGAUGGCGACCGGCGCACGGGUGAGUAACGCGUAUCCAACCUGCCGAUAACUCGGGGAUAGCCUUUCGAAAGAAAGAUUAGUACCCGAUGGUAUAAUCAGACCGCAUGGUUUGAUUAUUAAAGAAUUUCGGUUAUCGAUGGGGAUGCGUUCCAUUAGGCAGUUGGUGAGGUAACGGCUCACCAAACCUUCGAUGGAUAGGGGUUCUGAGAGGAAGGUCCCCCACAUUGGAACUGAGACACGGUCCAAACUCCUACGGGAGGCAGCAGUGAGGAAUAUUGGUCAAUGGACGCGAGUCUGAACCAGCCAAGUAGCGUGAAGGAUGACUGCCCUAUGGGUUGUAAACUUCUUUUAUAUGGGAAUAAAGUUUUCCACGUGUGGAAUUUUGUAUGUACCAUAUGAAUAAGGAUCGGCUAACUCCGUGCCAGCAGCCGCGGUAAUACGGAGGAUCCGAGCGUUAUCCGGAUUUAUUGGGUUUAAAGGGAGCGUAGGUGGACAGUUAAGUCAGUUGUGAAAGUUUGCGGCUCAACCGUAAAAUUGCAGUUGAUACUGGCUGUCUUGAGUACAGUAGAGGUGGGCGGAAUUCGUGGUGUAGCGGUGAAAUGCUUAGAUAUCACGAAGAACUCCGAUUGCGAAGGCAGCUCACUGGACUGCAACUGACACUGAUGCUCGAAAGUGUGGGUAUCAAACAGGAUUAGAUACCCUGGUAGUCCACACAGUAAACGAUGAAUACUCGCUGUUUGCGAUAUACAGUAAGCGGCCAAGCGAAAGCAUUAAGUAUUCCACCUGGGGAGUACGCCGGCAACGGUGAAACCCAAAGGAAUUGACGGGGGCCCGCACAAGCGGAGGAACAUGUGGUUUAAUUCGAUGAUACGCGAGGAACCUUACCCGGGCUUAAAUUGCAUUUGAAUAUAUUGGAAACAGUAUAGCCGUAAGGCAAAUGUGAAGGUGCUGCAUGGUUGUCGUCAGCUCGUGCCGUGAGGUGUCGGCUUAAGUGCCAUAACGAGCGCAACCCUUAUCUUUAGUUACUAACAGGUCAUGCUGAGGACUCUAGAGAGACCGCCGUCGUAAGAUGUGAGGAAGGUGGGGAUGACGUCAAAUCAGCACGGCCCUUACGUCCGGGGCUACACACGUGUUACAAUGGGGGGUACAGAAGGCAGCUACCUGGUGACAGGAUGCUAAUCCCAAAAGCCUCUCUCAGUUCGGAUCGAAGUCUGCAACCCGACUUCGUGAAGCUGGAUUCGCUAGUAAUCGCGCAUCAGCCAUGGCGCGGUGAAUACGUUCCCGGGCCUUGUACACACCGCCCGUCAAGCCAUGAAAGCCGGGGGUACCUGAAGUACGUAACAGCAAGGAGCGUCCUAGGGUAAAACUGGUAAUUGGGGCUAA
Molecule: ribosomal RNA, 1429 nt
Filed under: uncultured organism
Description: SSU rRNA
Rfam family: Bacterial small subunit ribosomal RNA
Source: RNAcentral